UCAUGUUCAAAAGGUUUCCUUUUUGGGUUUCAUUGUGUCUAAAGGUCAUAUCCAGAUGGACCCUGCAAAGACCCAAGCAGUUAGAGAUUGGCCUCAGCCCACCUCCGCCAAGCAGGAUCAAAGAAUCAAAAGCCUGAUGCUCUUUCCAGGCAGUUUGACCCACCCAACAUGACCUCAAGCCCUGUAAAGAUCAUUCCCCCCUCCAAGAUUGUGGCACCAGUCAGAUGGGGAAUAGAGUCCAUCGUCAGAGAGGCACAGCAGCAGGAGGCUGACCCAGGUAAUGGACCUCCAGGCCGUCUAUUUGUACCUAAAGCAGUGCGGUCUGAUGUUUUGCAGUGGGGACACUCCUCAUCAAUUACAUGCCACCCAGGAUCUAGUAGGACCCUAGAGUUCAUUGGCAGACGUUUCUGGUGGCCUAGGAUGGCUGAAGACAUCAGAGCCUAUGUGGCUGCCUGCUCAAUUUGUGCUCAGCAUAAGGAUUCCAGAUCCCGCCCACAAGGUCUCCUGCUACCCCUCCCUGUUCCUGCUCGGCCAUGGUCACAUAUUUCUAUGGACUUUGUAACUGGCCUACCACCUUCACAAGCAUGUGUUUAGGUUGCAUGGUUUUCCCCAAGAUGUUGUAUCAGACCGUGGUCCCCAGUUUGCUUCCAGGUUCUGGAAGGCCUUCUGCCAGCUGAUUGGAGCUACAGCCAGUCUGUCAUCAGGGU
This is a long non-coding RNA of Carassius gibelio (silver crucian carp), 707 nucleotides long. RefSeq lists it as uncharacterized. Lineage: Eukaryota; Metazoa; Chordata; Actinopteri; Cypriniformes; Cyprinidae. The record is from RefSeq and is a predicted model, not a curated record. The transcript has 3 exons.